CCUCCGAUGAUGAGAAACAAAAUGACUUUCGUUCUUCUGAAAGCAGUGAUGUUAAUUUAUUUUUAACUGAGGAGG
Molecule: small nucleolar RNA, 75 nt
Organism: Lethenteron reissneri (Far Eastern brook lamprey)
Lineage: Eukaryota; Metazoa; Chordata; Hyperoartia; Petromyzontiformes; Petromyzontidae
Product: small nucleolar RNA SNORD59
Source: RefSeq, a predicted model, not a curated record